GACGAACGCUGGCGGCGUGCUUAACACAUGCAAGUCGAGGGCACUUGCUCAGCAAUGGUCAAGUGACCGGCGAACGGGUGCGUAACACGUGAGCGACCUUGCCUCGUGGUGGGGGAUAGCCGGCCCAACGGCCGGGUAAUACCGCAUAGGGUGGUCUUUUCGCAUGGAGAGACUAGCAAAGCCCUGGAGCAAUCCAGUGGCGCCACAGGGGGGCGUCGCGGCCUAUCAGC
This 230-nucleotide ribosomal RNA is filed under the name uncultured bacterium. RNAcentral's name for it is "partial 16S ribosomal RNA". It matches the Rfam family "Bacterial small subunit ribosomal RNA", at positions 28 to 245 of the family's 1533-position model. The record is from RNAcentral.